AGUGAACGCUGGCGGUAGGCCUAACACAUGCAAGUCGAACGGCAGCACAGUAAGAGCUUGUUCUUACGGGUGGCGAGUGGCGGACGGGUGCGGAAUACACCGGAAUCUACUUUUUCGUGGGGGAUAACGUAGGGAAACUUACGCUAAUACCGCAUACGACAUACGGGUGAAAGCAGGGGAUCUUCGGACCUUGCGCGUUUGAAUGAGCCGAUGUCGGAUUAGCUAGUUGGCGGGGUAAAGGCCCACCAAGGCGACGAUCCGUAGCUGGUCUGAGAGGAUGAUCAGCCACACUGGAACUGAGACACGGUCCAGACUCCUACGGGAGGCAGCAGUGGGGAAUAUUGGACAAUGGGCGCAAGCCUGAUCCAGCCAUGCCGCGUGGGUGAAGAAGGCCUUCGGGUUGUAAAGCCCUUUUGUUUGGAAAGAAAAGCAGCAGGUUAAUACCCCGCUGUUCUGACGGUACCCAAAGAAUAAGCACCGGCUAACUUCGUG
RNAcentral lists this ribosomal RNA (492 nucleotides) under uncultured bacterium. RNAcentral's name for it is "partial 16S ribosomal RNA". It matches the Rfam family "Bacterial small subunit ribosomal RNA", at positions 29 to 507 of the family's 1533-position model. The record is from RNAcentral.